Molecule: RNA transcript, 780 nt
Organism: Neltuma alba
Lineage: Eukaryota; Viridiplantae; Streptophyta; Magnoliopsida; Fabales; Fabaceae
Exons: 2
Source: RefSeq, a predicted model, not a curated record
GUUCUAUCGGACCUCCAUUUCCACGGAUAGGGUUUCUUCCCCUGCAAAUCUAACUUCUGCGAAAUUGCUUCAAUCAAUCCGAUACAAUGGCGAUGAGGAAUUUCUACAACGAGAUCAAAGGUAAAAAGGUGACGGAGAUUCCCAACCAUGUGAAGCCGUUGCUUUCCUUUGACUAUAUCAAGAAUGCUGUUAAGAGAGGCUUGGACAACUAUAGCGCCAAGUACAUCGAGACCGACUCCAUUACUCCUCUCUACCAUGUAUGCUUUGGGGGCAUGAUCUUCUCCUACCUUGUCGCGCUCCCCCACGAGCGCCGUCACCUGGAGCACCAGCAGCAUGCUAAGGAACAUGGCCAUGGCGGCCACUAAUUUCUCCAUCAUCGAUAUUUCAGGUUUUCAAAUCUUUGGAAUUCCCUCACAAUAAAUGCCACCUCAAUGCUUUCCCCCGCCGUUACGCUUGUUUUGGCGGUCGAUAGAUGAUGUUUUCCUUCUGAUGACAGGAUCCUGGUCGGUGAACUGGAGGUGGCCUUUUGACUGAUCCUGUUCUUUUAAAGUUAUGUGAAUGAUGAAGGCAGAAUAUACUGUUACAUAAAAUAAUGUCAAUUUGAUGCAAUACUCAAUUUUCUUGCAUUUUAAUUUCUGUUAUGAGAAAUGCGUUGUUUAGUGUUCUUGUGAUCCAGUUCAGCUAACAUUGAUUAAGAAAAUUUACAAUGUUGAAAGAAGGAAAUACGCCAUGUUUCCUACAAUCUAACUGUGAAUUUAAAGCUAAAAAUGCUUCUAGCCA